UACGUAGGGCGCAAGCGUUAUCCGGAAUUAUUGGGCGUAAAGAGCUCGUAGGCGGUUUGUCGCGUCUGCCGUGAAAGUCCGGGGCUCAACUCCGGAUCUGCGGUGGGUACGGGCAGACUAGAGUGAUGUAGGGGAGACUGGAAUUCCUGGUGUAGCGGUGAAAUGCGCAGAUAUCAGGAAGAACACCCGUGGCUAAGGCGGCUCUCUAGUACGGUACUGACGCUGAGACGCGAAAAGCGUGGGGGAGCGAACAGGAUAG
RNAcentral lists this ribosomal RNA (259 nucleotides) under uncultured bacterium. RNAcentral's name for it is "partial 16S ribosomal RNA". It matches the Rfam family "Bacterial small subunit ribosomal RNA", at positions 524 to 780 of the family's 1533-position model. The record is from RNAcentral.